This 264-nucleotide ribosomal RNA is filed under the name uncultured archaeon. RNAcentral describes it as "partial 16S ribosomal RNA". It matches the Rfam family "Archaeal small subunit ribosomal RNA", at positions 748 to 1008 of the family's 1478-position model. The record is from RNAcentral.
AGGGUGUAAACGCUGCAGACUUGGUGUUGGAGGCCCUUUGGGGGCGAUUCUAGUGCCGGAGAGAAGUUGUUAAGUCUGCUACUUGGGGAGUACGUCCGCAAGGAUGAAACUUAAAGGAAUUGGCGGGGGGAGGCACCGCAACGGGAGGAGCGUGCGGUUUAAUUGGAUUCAACACCGUAAACUCACCAGGGAAGACUGUUACAUGAAAGCCGAGAUGAAGACUCUGCUAGAUUUUCAGAGAGGUGGUGCAUGGCGUCAGUGACU